Molecule: ribosomal RNA, 424 nt
Filed under: uncultured bacterium
Lineage: Bacteria
Description: partial 16S ribosomal RNA
Rfam family: Bacterial small subunit ribosomal RNA
Source: RNAcentral
GUAGGGAAUCUUGCGCAAUGGGCGAAAGCCUGACGCAGCCAUGCCGCGUGAAUGAUGAAGGUCUUAGGAUUGUAAAAUUCUUUCACCGGGGACGAUAAUGACGGUACCCGGAGAAGAAGCCCCGGCUAACUUCGUGCCAGCAGCCGCGGUAAUACGAAGGGGGCUAGCGUUGCUCGGAAUUACUGGGCGUAAAGGGCGCGUAGGCGGACAGCUUAGUCAGAGGUGAAAGCCCAGGGCUCACCUUGGAAUUGCCUUUGAUACUGGCUGUCUUGAGUUUGGGAGAGGUGAGUGGAACUCCGAGUGUAGAGGUGAAAUUCGUAGAUAUUCGGAAGAACACCAGUGGCGAAGGCGACUCACUGGCCCAAUACUGACGCUGAGGCGCGAAAGCGUGGGGAGCAAACAGGAUUAGAAACCCUGGUAGUCC